RNAcentral lists this ribosomal RNA (482 nucleotides) under Streptococcus mutans. Its description in RNAcentral is "bacterial SSU rRNA". It matches the Rfam family "Bacterial small subunit ribosomal RNA", at positions 28 to 486 of the family's 1533-position model. The record is from RNAcentral. Lineage: Bacteria; Bacillati; Bacillota; Bacilli; Lactobacillales; Streptococcaceae.
GACGAACGCUGGCGGCGUGCCUAAUACAUGCAAGUGGGACGCAAGGGAACACACUGUGCUUGCACACCGUGUUUUCUUGAGUCGCGAACGGGUGAGUAACGCGUAGGUAACCUGCCUAUUAGCGGGGGAUAACUAUUGGAAACGAUAGCUAAUACCGCAUAAUAUUAAUUAUUGCAUGAUAAUUGAUUGAAAGAUGCAAGCGCAUCACUAGUAGAUGGACCUGCGUUGUAUUAGCUAGUUGGUAAGGUAAGAGCUUACCAAGGCGACGAUACAUAGCCGACCUGAGAGGGUGAUCGGCCACACUGGGACUGAGACACGGCCCAGACUCCUACGGGAGGCAGCAGUAGGGAAUCUUCGGCAAUGGACGAAAGUCUGACCGAGCAACGCCGCGUGAGUGAAGAAGGUUUUCGGAUCGUAAAGCUCUGUUGUAAGUCAAGAACGUGUGUGAGAGUGGAAAGUUCACACAGUGACGGAGCUACCAG